GAUGAACGCUGGCGGCGUGCCUAAUACAUGCAAGUCGAACGCAUUGUGGUUGAAAUGAUAUGAAGAACUUGUUCAGAUUUGAUUUUCAACAUUGCAAUGAGUGGCGAACGGGUGAGUAACACGUGGGAAACCUACCUCUUAGCAGGGGAUAACAUUUGGAAACAAAUGCUAAUACCGUAUAAUAAUUAAACCGCAUGGUUUUUAGUUUUAAAAAGAUUGGGUCUUGCUAUCACUAAGAGAUGGUCCCGCGGUGUAUUAGUUAGUUGGUGAGGUAAUGGCUCACCAAGACAAUGAUACAUAGCCGAGUUGAGAGACUGACCGGCCACAAUGGGACUGAGACACGGGCCCCAUACUCCUACGGGA
RNAcentral lists this ribosomal RNA (363 nucleotides) under uncultured bacterium. Its description in RNAcentral is "bacterial SSU rRNA". It matches the Rfam family "Bacterial small subunit ribosomal RNA", at positions 28 to 346 of the family's 1533-position model. The record is from RNAcentral.